This 792-nucleotide ribosomal RNA is filed under the name Pycnocentria evecta. RNAcentral's name for it is "SSU rRNA". It matches the Rfam family "Eukaryotic small subunit ribosomal RNA", at positions 915 to 1780 of the family's 1831-position model. Lineage: Eukaryota; Metazoa; Arthropoda; Insecta; Trichoptera; Conoesucidae. The record is from RNAcentral.
AAUCUGGAUNGUCNCAAGACGGACUAAAGCGAAAGCAUUUGCCAAAGGUGUUUUCAUUAAUCAAGAACGAAAGUUAGAGGUUCGAAGGCGAUUAGAUACCGCUGUAGUUCUAACCAUAAAUGAUGCCAGCCAGCGAUCCGCCGAAGUUUCAUAAAUUUAACCCGGUGGGCAGCUCCCGGGAAACCAAAGCUUUCGGGCUCCGGGGGGAGUAUGGUUGCAAAGCUGAAACUUAAAGGAAUUGACGGAAGGGCACCACCAGGAGUGGAGCCUGCGGCUUAAUUCGACUCAACACGGGAAAACUCACCAGGCCCGGACACUGGAAGGAUUGACGGAUUAACAGCUCUUUCUCGAUUCGGUGGGUGGUGGUGCAUGGCCGCUCUUAGUUGGUGGAGCGAUUUGUCAGGUUAAUUCCGGUAACGAACGUAACUCACCGGCGGUAUAUAUAGCCGCACGAGAUUGAGCAAUAGCAGGUCUGUGAUGCCCUUAGAUGUCCUGGGCCGCACGCGCGCUACACUGAAGGGAUCAGCGUGUCCUCCUUGGCCUAACGGCCCGGGUAACCCGAUGAAACCCCUUCGUGAUAGGGAUUGGGGUUUGCAAUUCUCCCCCAUGAACGAGGAAUUCCUAGUAAAAGCGGGUCACCAGCUCGCGUUGAUUGCGUCCCUGCCCUUUGUACACACCGCCCGUCGCUACUACCGAUGGAUGAUUUGGUGAGGUCUUCGGACUGGUGCGCGGAAGUUCGUCUCGGACAUCCGACGCGUCGGAAAGUUUGACCGAAUUUGAUCAUUUAGAGGA